Molecule: ribosomal RNA, 32 nt
Filed under: Rhizoctonia solani
Lineage: Eukaryota; Fungi; Basidiomycota; Agaricomycetes; Cantharellales; Ceratobasidiaceae
Description: partial 18S ribosomal RNA
Source: RNAcentral
GGUGAACCUGCGGAAGGAUCAUUAUUGAAUUU